AUGCUUGCUUUGGCAGCACAUAUACUAAAAUUGGAACGAUACAGAGAAGAUUAGCAUGGCUCUUGCACAAGGAUGACAUGCAAAUUCGUGAAGGAUUCUACAUUUUU
This 107-nucleotide small nuclear RNA is filed under the name Tursiops truncatus (common bottlenose dolphin). The record is from RNAcentral. Lineage: Eukaryota; Metazoa; Chordata; Mammalia; Artiodactyla; Delphinidae.